GACGAACGCUGGCGGCGUGCUUAACACAUGCAAGUCGAACGGAAAGGCCCUGCUUUUGUGGGGUGCUCGAGUGGCGAACGGGUGCGUAACACGUGAGUAACCUGCCCUUGACUUUGGGAUAACUUCAGGAAACUGGGGCUACUACCGGAUAGGAGCUCCUGCUGCAUGGUGGGGGUUGGAAAGUUUCGGCGGUUGGGGAUGGUCUCGCGGCUUAUCAGCUUGUUGGUGGGGUAGUGGCUUACCAAGGCUGUGACGGGUAGCCGGCCUGAGAGGGUGACCGGCCACAUUGGGACUGAGAUACGGACCAGACUGCUACGGGAGGCAGCAGUGGGGAAUAUUGCACAAUGGGCGGAAGCCUGAGGCAGCAACGCCGCGUGCGGGAUGACGGCCUUCGGGUUGUAAACCGCUUUCGCCUGUGACGAAGCGUGAGUGACGGUAAUGGGUAAAGAAGCACCGGCUAACUACGUG
RNAcentral lists this ribosomal RNA (468 nucleotides) under uncultured bacterium. Its description in RNAcentral is "partial 16S ribosomal RNA". It matches the Rfam family "Bacterial small subunit ribosomal RNA", at positions 28 to 507 of the family's 1533-position model. The record is from RNAcentral.